Molecule: ribosomal RNA, 253 nt
Filed under: uncultured bacterium
Lineage: Bacteria
Description: partial 16S ribosomal RNA
Rfam family: Bacterial small subunit ribosomal RNA
Source: RNAcentral
UACGGAGGAUCCAAGCGUUGUCCGGAUUUAUUGGGUUUAAAGGGUGCGUAGGCGGAUCUUUAAGUCAGUGGUGAAAGCCUGCAGCUCAACUGUGGAAUUGCCAUUGAAACUGAAGAUCUUGAAUUAGGUUAAAGUAGGCGGAAUGUAUUAUGCAGCGGUGAAACGCUUAGAUAUGAUACAGAACACCGAUAGCGAAGGCAGCUUGCUGAACCUAUAUUGACGCUGAGGCACGAAAGCGUGGGGAGCGAACAGG